CCACGUUGGCGAGCACAUGGAUUGUGUUUCUUUAGCUUAAAUCUUGACCCUACGAUUAAAUCUAAUGGUCCUAGCUAAUUAAGCUUUUAUCAUUAUUUAAUAUAUAUAUAGAGCUUUUCCUUUUAAUUUCUAAUUUUAUCUUAACCGUUCGAUCAAACGAUUGGACGGCCCAAAUUAAAUCCCAAAAUAUUUUCUUCUUUUCCCAAAAUAUAGUACAACCUCCGGCUGAUUUUCCCCUUUCUUUUCCCUGGACUGCGCCUUAGUCUAGGAAAAAGAUAGAAAAUGUUUUCUCCCAGAACAUCAUCUCCCUCAACGUUCUUCUACACUUUUCAAGAAAAGGACGACGCCUCACUCUUUCUUCUCCUUUCCCAGGCGUCUGCACGCUACACGCUCACUUUCCCCAUGCCUCUUUCAACUUUCCCAUCGUCCGCUGCCAAAGAAACGGCCAUGAAUCGCCGAAAAACAACAAUAUCCGGCGGUCUCCAACGUCACCUCUUCCUCCAUCCGCCGUCCAUCAAUCACAACCCUCCCUCCCUAUGAGCUUUACAUCUUUUCCGAUUUAUUUCUGACCCAAAGCAGGCCUAGAAACCUCAAC
RNAcentral lists this long non-coding RNA (595 nucleotides) under Solanum tuberosum (potato). RNAcentral's name for it is "long non-coding RNA (STUB_LNC001401)". The record is from RNAcentral. Lineage: Eukaryota; Viridiplantae; Streptophyta; Magnoliopsida; Solanales; Solanaceae.